GGGGUGGUUUUAUGUGCCAGGUCCUGGGGAGGGACAGACACUGCGGAGAGGUGGGUUUUAUGGGCCAGGUCCUGGGGAGGGACAGACACUGCAGAGAGGUGGGUUUUAUGGGCCAGGUCCUGGGGAGGGACAGACACUGCAGAGAGGUGGGUUUUAUGGGCCAGGUCCUGGGGAGGGACAGACACUGCGGAGAGGUGGGUAUUAUGGGCCAAGUCCUGGGGAGGGACAGACACUGCUGAGAGGUGGGUUUUAUGGGCCAGGUCCUGGGGAGGGACAGACUCUGCUGAGAGGUGGGUUUUAUGGGCCAGGUCCUGGGGAGGGACAGAUACUGCGGAGAGGUGGGUUUUAUGGGCCAGGUCCUGGGGAGGGACAGACACUGCGGAGAGGUGGGUUUUAUGUGCCAGGUCCUGGGGAGGGACAGGCACUGCUGAGAGGUGGGUUUUAUGUGCCAGGUCCUGGGGAGGGACAGGCACUGCUGAGAAGUGGGUUUUAUGGGCCAUGUCCUGGGGAGGGACAGACACUGCAGAGAGGUGGGUUUUAUGGGCCUGUCUUCACGCCAAUGUGUAA
This is a long non-coding RNA of Brienomyrus brachyistius, 567 nucleotides long. RefSeq lists it as uncharacterized. The record is from RefSeq and is a predicted model, not a curated record. NCBI's taxonomy places the organism in Eukaryota, Metazoa, Chordata, Actinopteri, Osteoglossiformes, Mormyridae. The transcript has 5 exons.